AGACCACAACUCGGUGACCACAUGGGUCAGCAUCCAUCAGCUCAUAUGUCUGCUGCUCCCUAUGCCAGAAAUUCAACUGCCACCUCAGUUCCUCCCAGACUUGCAACAUUUCUAGAAUCCAGUACCGUUCUACCUCAGACGCCACACCCACCAAUGAGACCGAGUAACUUCAAUCCACCUCACCGGAUGCCCAAUUUGCCAGGUCCUCUGCCUCCAAGGCCAGGAAAUUACAUUCAAAUUCAGCAAAGCUAUCCUGCUCACGCAACUAGACCUGAGAUCCCACGUGCUCCAAAUCAACAGUUCAACAACCUUGCAUUUUCCUCUGGCAAGUCGGCAUCUGGUCCUGGAGGAGGACAGCAACUUUAUGAUCCAUUCUCACCCACUUCCGCGAAUCAACAGCAGGGAGGUAAUCCAGUAAAGAUGUGAAAGCAAGGGAUUGAUGUACACUAAUGCGAUUUGAUUGCCUUGGUUGGAGUUACAAUUUCGGAUUUAGUGAAGCAGCUAACAAAACAAGGAUUUGGAGUUGUUGUAGUCUACAGGUCAUAUUAACAUGUUGCUGUUGUCUGAUUUCUGACGGGACAAAACUUCUUCCUAGAAACACAUUUCGUUACCUUUUUAUCAAUCGAUUUGUUUCCCUUUCGUUAAAAGAGUACGAAAGAGUACCGCAUUUAUAUUACAAAUCAGUUAAAAGGGACCAAGCAAACCGAACAGUCCGGCGAGCUAAUUCACUAGUCUACAGCUGCUAAGAACGCGGGAGAAGAAAAACAAAAUAACAAAAACAAACAAUUAAUAGUUAUUGAUAUUAGGGUGAAACCCUUUCCAAAAAGUAAAAUACCGGCCAAAACUAAAAGCAAGACAAUGAUAUUGUUAUUUGUAUAAAAUUCACACGUUUGCUAAGACAUUAUCUAAUACAGUUUAACUCAAUUAUUAUACGUGGAAAACAAUAACAUAUUGAAAAAUAUGUUAUCAAAUGUUGCUCGUUCCUGACAUAAAGGAGUCUGCAUGUGGUUUUAUGCAGAUAUCUAGCUAGUACAUUACAACUAUGUUUCCCUGCCGAACGUUUUGUUUUUGAGGUUUUCUCCUUGCUUGCAAUAGCCUUAUGUAUAGUAGUGGUGACAAAAUAGUACUACAAGGCCUGAGGCCACCUAGAUGAGAGAGGCCGUACAUUUGAACCAGAGAGGAAAUGGGAUUGUGACGGAAAUGAAGAAGGCGGUGAUUCCGAAGAAGACCCCAAAAUAAUGGAAGAGAUGAACUAUAAUCUGCGGAGAGUUGGAGUGUUGGAUAAAUUUGCUAACCAUGAUACAAGUAAAGGCAAGUAGGAUUGCGAGACCAAGAAAGCAAAGGUUAGAGGGAGCUGGUUGGAGUGAAGUUGGAUGGGAAUGAGAGCCAUUGCAAUGGCUGUCGACAAGCAAUACGCCACGAUAAUCUUUGCCCAGUCUAGGUUGUGCUUCGUAGUCCUAGAGCUGGUGGCCGUGGCUGGCGGCAGCGGUGGUUGAUCAGCCGGUACUAUUGUUUCUGGGUCAACAUUAUUAUCCAACGCGUUGAUGACCUUGUUGAGUUGUUGCUGAAAAAAUGCCCGAAGGCACCGAUAAGCACUAGCAAUAUAGUACUUCAUACUUGUUUGCUAAUAAGGAGGGAGAGUGAUGGAACCCUAAACAGUUUUGGUGGUGGGUGGUUUUGGAGGGUGAGAAGAGGGAGGAAACUGUGUGUGAGUGGGAGUUUUUUUUUUUUUUUUGGGGUGGGGUUGGUGAGAAUGAGGAUAACUUCGGAACUCUAGGAUAAUGGGCGUUUUAGGGCGGGAUCUAAAGGGGGGGGCGGGGGUGUGGGAGUGACAGGAGAGGGAGAAAACUGUGUGUGAGUGACACCGUGGGAGGGGUGGGAGUCACAGGAGAAGCGGGGAGAAAGCUGUGUGAGGGAGAAAAAGCGGGGGCGGGGCGGGAGUUUUAUGGGGUUUUAUGGGGGAAGCAAACAAAACAAGUCACCACUAAAGUCUCAUACAACUUCGCAAGUAUAUAUGGGAGAAGAAGCAAACAAAAUAGGUUAGAUGAGAAACAUUUUUGUACUAUAUUAAUAAUGUAUCAUGUGAUGUGGAAAGUGAAGUGUACAUAUCACGAUAAUAAAACAUAAAUUUGUGUGUAUCAGUUCAGAAAUUUAGACUUUAAUUUCCACAAAAUUUGGCUUAUUAAUUGAAAUGCCCCAUGAAACAGACUUUUUUUGUCUCACUUUCCCCAUUCUGUUAAAUAACUGUUAAAUCUAAGGAUAUUUUAGACAUUUUAGUUUUUACACAUCUAUUUACCUCUAGCAUACCCACUAAACCAAUCUCAAUUCCAAUUUUAACAACUGUAAUUCAAAUUCAUGAAUUUUGAGCCUUUAAAAAAAAUAAAUUAUUCAAUAAAUAAAAAAAAUUUGAGUAACAAAAUCAUUAUAUCAAUCAAAAUAAGGGUUAUAUUUUUUUUUCUUAGAGUUAUUUCAAUUGCAAAGCAUCAUGUAUUGGCUUGAAACUUUGCACUUAAAAAAUACUCAUUACGACAAAAAAGAAUCAUGAUAUGCCUAUUUCAAGAUAUUUUUCUAAUUAAAAUUGGCCUAACCAUAAGUUUCACCCAUUAAAAAAUGAUCUAAGAUCAUUUGCAACAAAUAUAAUCUCAAAAACCAUUAAGCUAUCAUUUCCAAAAUACUUCCCAUACAAAAAAAAAUCAUCUAAAGAAAAUGUGCACAGUUUGCAACCAAAAGUUUCACAUUGUUGCUCAAAAUUUUUCUAUCGACUGAGAAUUUAUUUUAAAAAGGCCCUAACGCUUGAGGUUUGAAUUAGAGUCGUCAAAAAUGUAUUUGUGAUCGGUUUAGUGUGUGAUCUAGAGGCAAAUAGAUGUAUAAAAAGUCUAAAAUCUAAAAUAUCCUGGAAUUGAACAGUUCUUUAACGUGACGGGUUAAGUGAGACAAAAAGAGUUGAAAAUGUCAGUUUCAAGAUAACAAAGUGAGAUAAAAUCAGUUUCAGUAAGUAAACUGAGACUACUAAAUGAUAGUUUUAAAAGACAUUACAAUUAAUAAGCCUGUAAAAGUUUAAUGUCCUCGUUCAAACAGAAUUGAGCGGUGAAUGUAGUGAUUUGUUAUCUUGGAUUGGACUGAGGCCCGGAACAUAUUUGAGCCCACCAAAGAACCCAACGGGCCCUCGUCUCGAUUCACUCUCGUGUUGGCCAAGUGUGGAACUGUAAAAACUCCAUGGAGUUUCUGCGCGCUUUUCAUUCCUCUGAGACUUUACACUUAUCGGAAGAGCAGAGAGCAAUUGGGUUGCGACUUGCGAGUCUACACUCCCAAAACGCAGCAUUCUGAUCAUCCCUCUCCUUAAUCCUCACACUGUUAUUCUCUCUCUCUCUCUCUCUCUCUCUCUCUCUCUCUGUAUUUCCUAUUGUUUUAGGCAGGUAGGUUGUCCUUUUCCCAGAAAAUUUUGUUUUUCAGAGGAAAACAAAAUGGGGCUCUGAUCUCACCCAAGAUGCUUCUAUCAAAAAGGGAAGAGCUUUAGCUUAUCAGGUAUUGUUUGUAUUGUUUGCAAGUCCUUUUCAGGUCAUCUUUCGUUUGAUACUAUGUUAUUUCGUAGUUCUAAGAUCAAAAUUUGCUCCUGGUUUAUGUAUCUUUUUCCCACUUUACCCGUUUUGUGUUUGCGCAAUGUCAAACCUCUCUAAUUGCAAGUUCGAUGUUCCCAACCUCUGGCAAGUCAGCGUCUCAACAGCAGGGAGGACAGCAACUUUACGUUCCAUUCUCGCCCACUUCCGCGGCUGUUGGGCUCAACAGCAGGGAGGUAAUCCAGAAAAGUUGUGAAAGCAAGACUAUGAUCUAUACUAAUGGGAUUUGAUUGCCUUGGUCGGAGCAAUACAAUUUAGGAUUUAGUGAAGCAGGUGACAAAACAUGUUGUUGCUGUAAUCUGAUUUAAGAUAGGACAAAACUUCUUCAUAGAAAACACAUUUCCUCACCUUUUUAUCAUUCCAUUUGUUUCCCUUUCGCUUUCCAAAUUACUAUUUAUUAUUGUUUGUUAUACAAGCAAUGAUGGGGAAGGGGGGUUUUGAACUUAGAACCUCAGGUGUAAGGGUAAAAAUGCUCUUACCCUCUUGAGCGACAAGCCCAUUGCCUUUCCAUUUCCAUGUUGAUUGGCUUAUUCUCGACACAUUAAUUGAAUGCAUUACUAGCUCACGAGUUGCUAAAAUAAAAUAAAAGAUUAAGUUUAAGCGGUCUUGUUAAAAUCUUGCUCGGAGAAACCCCAGUGGGAAAAACUCCAAAUUUAGAAGAAAGAGUAGCACACUUACAUUACAAAUCAUUGAAAAGGGACCAAGCAAACAUAGCAAUCUGGAGAAUACACUAGAGUUGCGAGGAACGCGAGAACAAACCUUGGCCUAGAAAUAGCCUGGAACUCAAGAAUGAGAUCGAAUCGACCAUCAGCUUCAAAUCAUCUUCCAAUCUAUAUCUAUGUAAGGGAUGUGGGAUAUUUUGUGCUAGUAGCGUCAUUUUCCUGGUUGACAUCUCUCUUUUAGCAUAGGACACCCAUAGAUGCAAAUUUCCGUAAGUGAAAGAGGCAGUCCCUCCUUUGGAAUGGAUGCUAGCUUUGGACAAUCCCAGAGUUCCAAAGAUUCAAGGGAGAUUAGGAAUUGAAAGCCCUUACUGCUCAAUUUCUUCAGAUUCUAUAAGCCACCAAUUGAGAGUUCAGUGAGAGAUUUGGGGAGUAACAUCUCCAUCCGGACCAUGUCCGGUGGAAACGAUACCAUAUCCAGGUCUUCACCACCGAUCCACAAGUAUCUAAGGGAGGACACUUGUGAUUAGCAAGUGCAUAUUCAGUGUGUCGUGUGUGUUUUCUCUAUAUUUCAUUUUGAUCGGCGCAAAUAAGGAAACCGGAGCCAAAAUUCAUGUCUCUGGUACCAAAGCAGGGACAGGACAUAACGUAAAUAUUCAGUAAAUAAUAUAGAACAGUAAGGAAUCAAUAUCAAGAUAAAUUUGGGAGUCUUCAUCAUCAAUUUUACUCAUUUUCAUCUUUUCUUAAACUAUUAUUUUACGGAAAAAAAUCUAUUGUGGAAUGGUUGGUUCGAGAUGUGACAUAAUGCUCAUACGUACGUACAUGCAUUGACCUUCCCUUCUUUUAUUCUUUUAACUUAUUUGCAGGCUGAAAUAAAAUCAUCUGAUGGGAGUGAAGUCCAGGGUGAAUAUGAAAACUUAUACGUUCAUAUAUCAGCUGACACAUUUGAGAAAGUAGAUGCAGCGGUUGCCGUAAUUGAACUCUUAGGGUUGGUUUGGUAUUGAUGUGUUUUGAAAAAAAACUGCUUAUGUUGUGUUGUGAAAAUAAGUGGCUGUAAAAUAAAGCAGCAGAGUGUUUGGUAAACUUUUUUGUAAGAGUGCUUUUAGAAAAAAAGCAGUAUGAUAGUAUUUGGUAAACUUUUAUGUAAAACAGCUGUAAAUGUGUGAAAUGAUUAAAAAAUAUAUAAUACUAAAUGUGCUAUUAAUUUAAUUUUUUUAACAAAUAUAGGUUAAUUUUCUUUACAAUUUUUAAUCCACUAUUGCCAUUUUUUUUAUUUCAUUCCAGCAUUAUCUAGUCAUUAUUCUUACAAUAUUUUAAUCCACUUUUGCCAUUUUUUAUUCCAUUCAAUUAUCCUUGGUAUUCUUCUUCAAUGAUAUAACUGCAAGCACUCCAUUCAAAUCCUCUCUCUCUCUCUCUCUCUCUCUGAAAAGCUCAAAUCACCUUCUUCUUUUUUUUUUGUGAAAAAUCCCAGAUCAAAAUUCUUCAUUUUCGCCGCCACCGGGGUGCCCCGGUCCCGAUCGACCGAAACCGGCGCUAUGCAGCACAGCGGGUUCAUCUUCAACCCCAAUCAGACCAUCCAAUCAGACAAAAAGCGAAUUCGAUCAUUGUAAUCCGAAUCCCUUCCAGCUCCGAUUUAUACAAAUGCAGGACCCGAUCCGAAGCCAAAACGAACCUUAAAGACUCGGAGCUUCUGGUUCUAGAGAGAAAGAAGAGAGAGAGACAGAGACUCGUGAAGAGCUCUGCGCGGCAAGAAGGAGAAAUGGAGGAGGGUAUUUCUGGAUUCUCAGCCAGGCAGUCAGGUGUUAUCGAGACCACAACUCGGUGACCACAUGGGUCAGCAUCCAUCAGCUCAUAUGUCUGCUGCUCCCUAUGCCAGAAAUUCAACUGCCAUCUCAGUUCCUCCCAGACUCGCAACAUUUCUAGAAUCCAGUACCGUUCUACCUCAGACGCCAUACCCACCAAUGAGACGGAGUAACUUCAAUCCACCUCACCAGAUGCCCAAUUUGCCAGGUCCUCUGCCUCCAAGGCCAGGAAAUUAUAUUCAAAUUCAGCAAAACUAUCCUGCUCACGCAACUCGACCUGAGAUCCCACGUGCUCCAAAUCAACAGUUCAGCAACCACCUUGCAUUUUCCUCUGGCAAGUCGGCGUCUGGUCCUGGAGGAGGACAGCAACUUUAUGAUCCAUUCUCACCCACUUCCGCGAAUCAACAGCAAGGAGGUAAUCCAGGAAAGAUGUGAAAGCAAGGGAUUGAUGUACACUAAUGCGAUUUGAUUGCCUUGGUUGGAGUUACAAUUUCGGAUUUAGUGAAGCAGCUAACAAAACAAGAAUUUGGAGUUGUUGUAGUCUAUAGCUCAUAUUAACAUGUUGCUGUUGUCUGAUUUCUGACGGGACAAAACUUCUUCAUAGAAACACAUUUCGUUACCUUUUUAUCAAUCAAUUUGUUUCCCUUUCGUUAAAAGAGUACGAAAGAGUACCGCAUUUAUAUUACAAAUCAGUUAAAAGGGACCAAGCAAACCGAACAGUCCGGCGAGCUAAUUCACUAGUCUACAGCUGCUAAGAACGCGGGUGAAGAAAAACAAAAUAACAAAAACAAACAAUUAAUAUUUAUUGAUAUUAGGGUGAAACCCUUUCCAAAAAGUAAAAUACCGGCCAAAACUAAAAGCAAGACAAUAAUAUUGUUACUUGUAUAAAAUUCACAAGCUUGAUAAGACUUUAUCUAAUACAGUUUAACUUGAUCGUUAUAUGUGGAAAACAAUUACAUAUGAAAAAUAUGUUAUCAAAUGUUGCUCGUUCCUGACAUAAAGGAGUCUGCAUGUGAUUUUAUGCAGAUAUCUAGCUAGUACAUUACAACUAUGCUUCCCUGCCGAUCGUUUUGUUUUUGAGGUUUUCUCCUUGCUUGCAAUAGCCUUAUGUAUAGUAGUGAUGACAAAACAGUACUACGAGGCCUGAGGCCACAUAGAUGACAGAGGCCGUACAUUUGAACCAGACAGGAAAUGGGAUUGUGACGGAAAUGAAGAAAGCGGUGACUCCAAAGAAGACCCCGAAAUAAUGGAAGAGAUGAACUAUUCUCCGUGGAGAGUUGGAGUGCUGGAUAAAUUUGCUAACCAUUAUACAAGUAAAGGCUAGUAGGAUUGCGAGACCGAGAACGCAAAAAGUUAGAGGGAGAUGGUCGGAAUGAAGUUGGAUGGGAACGAGAGCCAUUCCAAUAGCUGUCGACAAGCAAUACGCCAUGAUAAUCUUUGCCCAGUCUAAGUUGUGCUUCGAAGUCCUAGAGCUGGUGGCCGUGGCUGGCCGCAGCGGUGGUUGAUCAGCCGGUACUAUUGCUUCUGGGUCAAGAUUAUUAUCCAACGCGUUGAUGACCUUGUUGAGUUGUUGCUGAAAAAAUGCCCGAAGGCACCGAUAAGCACUAGCAAUAUUGUUCUUCAUACUUGUUUGCUAAUAAGGAAGGGGAGAAGGGGGGAGGAGUUGGUUUAGAAAGAGGCGCAGGAAGGAUGUCUGGAGAGGGGAGGGGGGGGGGGUGGUUAUACACUUCAUGAUGGGGCCCGGGGGGGAUAAAGUGCGACGGUGGGGACAAAAAAGCAAAGAAUGAGACACCACAUCCCCUAAAAUAAAUUGUAGAACAGGAGUCGUAGCAGGAGUCGUAGCAAAUAAUGAGACACCACAUCCCCUUAAAUGAAUCGUUACUCGGGUAGAGUAGACUAGUAGAGCAUCAACCUGCCAAAAAUGGGGCCCGGGAGAGACAAAGAGUGUCUGGGGCCGGAGAGGAUCCUCUCCUGAGCAGAUGGAGAUAUCCUCCUGAUCAGAUCCAUCGUUCAAUUUUUAUUCAACGAUUAUAAUUAUUAUAACUUUAUAAAGAUUCCUUAUUUGUAACCGUUGGAUAAAAAUUAAACGGUCUGAUGGACCUGAUCAAAAGGAUCCUCUCCAUUAGCUCAGGAGAGGAUCCUGAUCCUCUGGGGCAAGUGAGAUGCCACUGUGGCAGAGGCUUGGGAAAGAACGAGGAAAGGAGGCGGGACCCAUGAAGUGAUCAAUUUACGGGGUGGGACCCAUGAAGUCAUGAAUUGAUCAUUUUACUGGGUGGGACCCAUGAAGUGAUGAAGUGAUCAUUUUACGUUACGGGGUGGGACCAUGAAGUGAUCAACUUAUGGGCUUGAUCUAGAGAUCCUAAGGAUUCCGUGAUUAUGAUCGUUCAAUGUAUAUCGUAUGAUUAUAAAUUAUUUUAAAAUUUAAAAUUUAAAAUUAAUUAUAAAUAGUACUUAACAAAAAACUGAUCACAAGAUAUACAAUGAACGGUUGCGAUCACGGAUUCCGAAUAAAUGAAUCUGUCAAGGAUCCUUUUCCACGGGGUGGCACCAUGAAGUGAUUAUUUUACAGGGUGGGGCCCUUUCUUUUAAUUUGUUUUGUCAAAGUGGAAACGAUCCCCCUCUUUUUAUCCUUUAUUUUUGAUAGUUUUGUUUCUGAUCAUCCCUUUUUUAUUCUUUAUUUUUUAUAGUUUUGUUUUGUCAAAGUGCAAACGAUCCCCCUUUUUUUAUUCUAUUCUUUAUUUUUAGGACAAUUCAGGACACUUCAUACUGCCCAUUCUAUGUGGCACAAUAAGAACUUAACACGUGUAACUUUAAAAAAAAAAAAGAACCGAGCCUUGUUAACGGCGUCUUCUCCCAUCCCAAUGACAGAGGACUUCAAUCGUCCUUCUCCUUCCCGCUCACACUACCUCUCCCUCCUUCUCACACUACCUCUCCCUCUCCCUCUCUCUCUCUCAGACUUCCUCUCCUUCUCGCUUAGACCACCAUCCACCUAGAGCGGCGAUGGCGAGCUCCGAGCAACGACGGCAAGCGGCAAAAUUGAAUAGAAAAGCCAGACAAUCUUGAAAAACAAGGAAUCGGGUAUGUUUUCGAAGAAUUACAUCUUUCUUUUUCUCCAUUCUCAAUUUUUAUGAUGUGAGCAGGGUUUUGCUCCCUGUCCUUCUCUCUCUCAUACUACAUCUCCUUCUUGCUCAGACCACCAUCCACCUAAAGCGGCGAUGGCGAGCUCCGAACAACGACGACAAGCAGCAAAAUUGAAUAGAAAAGUCAGACGAUCUUGAAAAACAAGGAAUCGGGUAUGUUUUCGAAGAAUUACAUCUUUCUUUUUCUCCGCUCUUAAUUUUUAUGUUCAAUUUUUAUGAUGUGAGCAGGGUUUUCUCUUAUUAGGGUUAGCUCUUGUCAUUGUUAAUUUUGUUUGAAUUAUUUAAAAAUUGAAUUGAAUUAUUUUCACUUCUCCAUAUUCUUUUCAAUUCCAAUGGAACCGAAGGAUCCAUUCUCUGAUGUAUUAUUCGAUAGUAGGCUAUUUUCGUCCAUUUUGUUAUUGCUAUUGGUGUUGGUAUAUCAGGGAUUGCAGCUGCACGAAUUCUGGGUUUUUUGGGUUUUUUUUUAUUUUAGUUUUGAGUAUGUUUUCUUUUCUUUUUUUGUGUUUGAAUACAAGUAGGUUGAAGAGCUGCAUAAAGGACAGCCACAAGGGCAAAGCCAUACAAAGCAGAGUUUCCAACACCACGAUGUCAACCAUUUUGCCUGUGAGUAUUAGAUUCCUUUUUCCAUUUCCAUGCCCCUUGAUUGGUUUUACAAUUUGGUCACUUUUUAAAGAUGUAUUUGUAAGAAUAUGAACAUGAGAUUGGGUGUUUUUUACAGUGAACGGAUAAGUCCAAUUAGAAUAAGAAAGCCUUAUGAGAAGCUGUGAACAAAUCCUUGUUUGUGAAGGAUUCUGUCAAGAAUACUUGAACUGAUAUGGUUUGGAAAACAUAAGUUGUUUUCUAUAAGGAUUGUAAUAGGAAAUCCUUGUCAAGUUAUAAGAAGGAUAUAUAUAUAUAUAUAUAUAUAUAUAUAUAUAUAUAUAUAUGUAUGUGUGUGUGUGUGUGUGUGUGUGUGUGUGUGUGUGUGUGUGUGUGUGUUUAUAUAUAUAUAAAUGUUGUAACCUCUACUCUCACAGAUGUGUGCUCAGUUAGAUCCGAGUCCUAUUCUUGGUUAGAGCUUAAAUCAAUCUGACAGAGAGGAGAAGGAUUGCAACACCGAGACUGAAUGGUAGCAGUUAUGGCAUAUUCCAAUGGCAGUUCAUCAGGUUAGUGGUAUUGCAGAGUUCUUUAUUUAUUUAUAUAAAAGGUUUCAUGCUUUCUUGAUUGUGAUUUCUGUGACUUAAAUCUUGUUCUUGGCAAUAUAAGUUUACAGUAUUGUGUUCCAUUUUUUUUGGGAGUUGUCAAGAUUUUAGUAAUCAACUCGUUCCAUUUUUUAAGAUGUAUGCCCAUAUAACGAAAGCUACCAUGUUCAUAUGUUUUCCAAAAUAUCUCGUAUCUCAUAAUCUAUGGGUCAUUUGUGUGCAGGAUGUUCAUUACGAGGACAAGGAUGGAAGUACAGGCUAAUCCUGGCUAUCACUGACGGGUCUCUAAUGCCUAGAGUUGAAGGAGUUGAUGUCUCUAUCUGAUAUAAAUAAUGUCUUUGUAUAUGCUGAUGACUAUGGUCUAAUAUGGACAUAGAUUGUUUCUCAAAUUGGUAUGAAAGGGUCUUAGUUUCGUUUAUAAUUUUGGGUUGGAAUCUAUAAAUCCAUAACGAGUAAGAGACUUAUGUUUUGUAUUUGUAUAUUUUGAUAGCCUCUUUCAAAUCCUCUCUAUAAGUCAAACAGAGUUUACAACCUUAUGUAUUCUCAAGGAAAACAUUUUUGUUUUCAUGUACAUAUGAAAGUGUUUUUCUCCUUUAUUUAGUUUUACUUAAUUAGGGCAUUGUCAUUUGUGUAUGUGGUCAGAGUGUUAUGUGUAUUGAUGCAGAGCUACAUUGAGAUACCUACAGAGGAGUACAUGAGAAAAUCAACAUAUGAAACCAGUUUGGCUCCUUAGUAGUACAUGAAAAAUAAGACGUUUAGUGAAGGGAAAUUUUGUCGUUUGCUGAACAAAAACCAAAAUAGCAAUAGCAAUCUCCAAAAUUAUCACCAAAGUAGCACUUGACUUGUGAUAUCCCUUCAGUCACACUUGUUUAAUACAGUACAAGUUCAACAAAAUGAUUACAACAUCUCCAAUUCAAUAGAAAUUGCCUCCAUGGUCUUUAUCUUCUCAUUUUCCAAGCCCCUUGUUUGCACUGUUACUUUGUGAAAGGUCAUGAUGGUGCAUUAUAACUUCCUAUAAAUUACAAAACAAAUUAUAUUAUAUAAAAUCAUUCCUAAAAACAAUAAGAAGCAAAUUGACUUGACCUAUUAAACACAUGGCUCAAAUUUUUGGCAACAUUUUGAUAAAUAUGCCAAACACACAAGUGAUGGUGAGAUUCAUUAAAAACUUCUGAUAUUGCUUUAGCCAUUGCAGCAGAUUGAUCUGUCAAUAUGGUCUUUGGUUGCUUCCCAGACAUUGCUUCCAAGAAAGUCUCAAAUAGCCAUGUAAAAGAAUCAUCACUUUCUUCAUAUAGCAAAGCUGCACCGAAAACUAUGGUUUGUUUAUGAUGAUUAACACCAAGAAUUGGUGCAAAAGGUUUACCAUACUCAUUUGUCCGAUACGUUGUGUCAAAACAAAUGACAUCUACAAAGAGACCAUAAUCAAUUAUUGAACGUGAAUCUGCCCAAAACAUAUUUUUGAUCAUAUCAUCUUCAUCAAGCUGCACCGAGUAAAAACUAGACGAGUCCUUCACUUGCAUUUUAUGAAAAUAUUGCAAUAUAGCCCCAGCAUCUCCUUUUUCCAUGUUUGUCUUUCGCUUUUGAUAUAUGUAAUUUCGAUAAUCUUUAUCAAGAAACCCAAGAUUCUCUCGCCCACCAACUUCUCUGCUCAUCAAUUCCAUAGUUGCUUUUAUUUAUAUUCAUGACUUAUCUGCAUCAUCAACAUGCGCCUUUUGAGCUCAGGACAUCUUCCGAUUAAUCUUCAACAUGUGCUUCAUAGGGGUUCGAACCAAAGCACGAUUAUGAUUUGCAUCAAAGGAAACAAUCUUAAAUUUUCCAUUCUUUUUAAGAAGGCAAGUCAUGUGGGCUUGACAACCGACCCUUGAAACUGGUUGAGUAUAAGUUGUACCUUUAAUUGGCUCAUCAUUUCUUCGAAAACCUUGUCUUGAACAAGUGUAAGUUACUCUUGUUACAAUUCCUGCAUUGUUUUUUUUCCAAUGAUGCUUCCUCACGUCAAAACCCUUAUCUCUAGCAUAGUUGCAGUAAACAUCGUAUGCGCUCUCUUUAGAACAAAACUCCAUUCCAAGUUCUAGAUCUCCCAUUAUUUCUUUGCUUUUAUUCAACUGAGGAGGUCCCAAAGAACCAUCAUGACUUUAAGAUUGACAAGUAGGUGAAGAACUUACACCUUGUAAAUCAUCUUCAUCACUAGGUAAUGACUCAUUGUCUGAUCUUGUAGGUUCUUCGUUCUCCAUAACCUGCCACAUAACAUUAAUACUAGAGACAUGAAAUAUGCUCUCCAUUAUUCAUUUGCUUUUAUUUUGUUGCAUCUCAAUAUGGGACGAAACAGAGCACACUCAAUACAAAUAUUGCAAUUUUCAAAUCCAAAGCCGCAAGCUUUGUGAAGAAAAACAAGCAUCCAAAAUUUCGAAUGCAAAUUCAAAUCAUACAACACUGAAAACAUACCAUCAAAUACAACAGAGAAUGGAUCAUCUGGAUAGGUGCCUAGGUGGAUGGUCGUUGUUGUUGUUGCUCAGAGUUCGCCGUCGCUGCUCUGGGUGUAUGAUGGUUUGAGCGAGAAUGGGAGGUAGUCUGAGAGAGAGAUGGAGAAGGAGAAAACCCUGCUCACAUCAUACCAACACCAAUAACAAUAACAAAAUGGACGAAAAUAGCCUACUAUCGAAUAAUACAUCAGAGAAUGGAUCCUUCGGUUCCAUUGAAUUGAAAAGAAUAUGGAGAAGUGAAAAGAAUUGAAUUCAAUUUUCAAAUAAUUCGAACAAAAUUAACAAUGACAAGAGCAAACCCUAAUAAGAGAAAACCUUGCUCACAUCAUAAAAAAUUAAAAAUCGAACAUAAAAAUUGAGAAUGGAGAAAAGAAAAAUGUAAUUCUUCGAAAACAUACCCGAUUCCUUGUUUUUCAAGAUUGUCUGGCUUUUCUAUUCAAUUUUGCCGCUUGUCGUCGUUGCUCGAAAGCUCGCCAUCGCCGCUCUAGAUGGAUGGUGGUCUGAGCGAGAAGGAAAGGUAGUCUGAGAGAAAGAGGGAGGGAGAAGGAGAGGUAACGUGAGCGGGAGGGAGACGUAGUGUGAGCGGGAAAGAGAAUGAUGAUUUAAGUCCUCUGUCAUUGGGAUGGGAGAAGAAGACGCCGUUAACUAGGCUCAGUUCUUUUUUGAAAAAAAAAAGUUACACGUGUUAAGUUCUUAUUGUGCCACGUUUGGGCAGUAUGAAGGGUUCUGACUGUUCAGGACUCAAGUAUUGUCCUUAUUUUUAUAGUUUUGUUUACGAUCCCCCUUUUUUUAUUCUUUAUUUUUUAUAGUUUUGUUUUGUCAAAGUGGAAAUGAUCCCCCUUUUUUUAUUCUUUAUUUUUUAUAGUUUUGUUAAAAGCAAGAUCUUAAAAGACGUUAAGCGGAUGUUGGGUUGAGACUUAGCACUUAGACGGUCUAAACGGAUUUGAGUAUAUUAAUUAUAUAAUAUGUAAAUUAGUUAAAUUUAAACAUUAAAUAAUAUGUCAUUUAAAAAUGAAAGUAUAUAUACAUAUACACAGUGGCGGAUUCAGAAUUUUAAACUCGGGGGGUCCCAAUAACAAAGGUAAAAAAAUUUAUAGAUUAAAAUGACAUUUAAAAGUUAAAUUAUAGUACAUUUUAUUGAUGAAUCAUACGUAAAACAACAUUACAAGCUAUAAAAUCUAAUUCAAGCAUCUACAAUGAAGUUUCAUAGUCUAAAAAUGUUCCAUUUGCAAAUAUACUCUUUGAAUCUCAACUUGAAUAUUAGGAGGAUAAUCCUUCAUUCAGAUUCUUUUUCCAGGGUCUCUCUCAAGAUUAUUCAAAUUAAUAUCACACUCAUUUUGUCUUGAACUUGAACUACCCAAACAAAUAGAUCGUGUUAUUGGUUUUGGCUUGAAAAAUCUUUCCAUAUUUCUUAUCUAUACACUACAUAUUAAUAACAAAACACAAAAUCAUAUACCAAUUAAUCAAUAAACAAAAUUCCAAUAAUCAAAUGAGUAUACAAAAAUAAAACAUAUCAAUAAUAGAUUAUAAAAUCUCCAUCAAUAUAUAAUAUAAUUUAGUUGAGAUUGGAUUAGAAUACCAAAAAAUCUUUUUUGAAUUUUGAACCAAAUGGUGGUGGUGUGGAGAUUUAAAACAAAUUGAGAUAUGAUAUUGGAGUAAAAUUAAAAUAUGAGAUUGGGUGGGAUUUUAGGAUUAUGAGAAUAGGGAAAUUGAGGAUUGGAUAUGUGAAAAUUGGGGGUUUCAGGUUUUGGAUGGGAGAAGGGAUGGUAAGGUAUGGGGAUUCAGGAAGAGUGACGGAGGCCUUGGGGAAUUAAAACAAAAUGGAAGAAAACGGCAGCGUUUUACCGUUGUUUAAACUUAAAUAAAAAAUAAAAAAAUAAAACGACUUGGGCCAAGGUUGAAAUGGGCAAAUUUUCUUUCUUCCUCUGCGCGGUCUUCUUCCCCAUCAUGACACUGCUGCUGCAACUAUAACUGCACAUAGUUCAUCCGAGUACGAGGGGUCCCCGGAAAAUUUCAAGCAAUCAUUCAGGCGUCUUCGAGGGGUCCUGGGACCUCCCAGGUCCCUCGGUGGAUCCACCACUGCAUAUGCAGUAUGAGAGUUUUAGGUACAUAAGAAAAUAUUAUGGACUUUAUAGUAUAGUCUUAAUGUUAAAAAGAAUAUUAAAAAAAUAGAAAUGGGCAGAAUACAAGUCUAGCAUCAGACUUGUGUGGAAUAGAUUUGCGUUUCCAAGUCAACAACUUGGAAGCAAUUCCAUAAAAAGAAUAAAAAUAUAAAAAGCAACUUGGAAGUAAAUCCAAGGCCACUUAAGACACUAAUCUCUAAUAUUUUUUAACCUGAAUCAAAAUAAUCUACACUAUUUAUGAAAUUACACCAAAAUAACUUUCAUUAUUUUUGAAACUGAACCAAAAUACUUACACUAUUUCUGAAACUGAGCCAAAAUAAUCCACAUUAUUUAUGGAACUACUACAAAAUAACUCGUACUAUUUAUGAAAUUGAACCAAAAUAACAUGCACUAAAUAUGGAAGUGAACAAGAUAAACGAUAUUUCUGAAGUUACAAACUAUUUAUGAAACAAAAUAAAAUAAUCCACACUAUUUUUGGAGUUACAAUAAAAUAACCCACACUAUUUCUAAAAUUGAACCAAAAUAAUCCACACUAUUUCUGGAACUACUACAAAAUAACUCACAUUAUUUAUGAAACUAAACCAAAAUAAUCCACAUUAUUUCUGAAACAACAGCAAAAUAACUUACGCUAUUUUUGAAACAGAACCAAAAUAAUUCAUAGUAUUUCUGUAAGUGAACAAAAUAAACACUAUUUCUAGAAAUACAACAAAAUAAGAACGAGGUUGAACGACAAACACCCAAAACAAACCCAAACAAAAAUCCCUUUUCUUUUCCAAAACUAAAAACAAAAAGAAAAUUAAUUACCAAAUAACCGUUACUGUGCCAAAUGUAGAGAGAAACAGAGAUUAAAUGGGGGAAAUUCCAUUUCUGAAAAAUUGUUGCAAAAAUAUACAUAAUUUUAGAAUUUAAUAAAUUAAAAAGUUCGGGAGGAGUUGCAGAGAAUUAGAAGCUUCUGUUUCUCGUCACUUUGGGUGCAUGAAAGCUUGAACAUUGCCUUGAUCAUCUUUUAGUGGUCUACCUAAUCAAAAAAUGCUUGAGUGUCCUCGUGGUAACAAUACGAUCCCACGCGGCCCUCCCUCACUUCAUUAGGCAAGACUGAGAUAAAACGGGGUUCGUGCUCUGCCUUAAUGGCGGUGAUGAUUCAUUUGGUAAAAUCGUAAUAUUUGUGAAUUGACUAAUUGGCUUGGGUUAGGCUCUAUUAGGGAUAAUUAUAGAAAAAAGUAUUUUAUUGCAGGUUGGGCUCUAAUUCGGCCCGUGUUUUUAAUAUUUGUAAGGUUGGUAUAUGAAUAGUUGUGAUCUUACGGCUACAUCUUAAACUUUUAUUAAUCAUAAAAGUUUAAGGUGAUUUUUUAGAUCACAACUAUUCAUAUACCAACUCUAAGAUCACAACUAUUCGUUAAUCCAAACAGCUUUUUGAAAUUGUGAAAAGUCAUUUCGCCACACUCUCUUCUUGUGCUGGUGUGACAAGAGCAUGAUUUUCUGAAUGCUCCCAUUAAAAAGAUGGUGGGGACCAGCUCGAUUCAUCUUCUUCCCCCCGCAACCCCGACUCUGCAACAAAAAUAUUUCAGAAUCCGGCGUCUUAAAUUUCCCCCGCCUAGCCGCCGUCGAACCCCGCCCAGACUUGCAUAGCUUCCCCUAGUCCCGCCUAAUCCCGCCUAAAAUGCUUUCCGAUUUUGUGGCCGCUUAGAAGUUAAUCGCGGCGGUCGGCCACCGUCCAGCUCCUAGGCCCGGACCAUGUUGAGCCCACCCAAAUAACCCGACGGGCCCCCGUCUCGAUUCGCUCUCGUGCUGGUCAAGUGUAAAACUGUAAAAACUCCAUGGAAGAGCUUCUGCGCGCCUUUUCAUCCUUUUGAGACAUUAUACUUAUCAAAAGAGCAGAGCAAUAUGGUUGCCACUUGCAAGUCUACACUCCCAAAACGCAGCGUUCUUCUCAUCUCUCUCCUUAAUCCUCACACUGGUAUUCUCUCUCUCUCUCUGUAUUUCCUACAGUUUUAGGCAGGUAGGUUGUAUUUUCCGAGAAAAUUAUGUUUGGCUGCUGAGAAACCUGACGAAAAUAAUAGAAAAGGAGACACAUCGGAUUUGGUGGGGUGUAUUAAAUAGUCAAUGUCUUAAUUUUAAUUUCUGUAAUGUUCAAUGAGUUCUUUGAAUUAAGGCCAGCAAUUUGCAGUUACAUUGAAAUCAAAGGAUUUGGGAAAUUAAAACCUAAUUGAAAUUGUAUUUUGUCUACCUAAUUUCGUGUUCGUUGUCUUGUCUGUUUAGUUAAAUACUGAAAUUUGUAAGUGUUUGGUUAUUUGAAGUGAAAAUCUUCUGAUUAAAAGUUAUUAGCUUUAGUUGAUCUCUUACGUUUUUUCGGCAUUUAUGUGCCCAUUGGAUUGGAGAACAGGAUGACUGCAAAGGUUGGUACUGCAUCCACAGUCGAACCUCGCACUGCUGAGAUGUCUGGUACAACGAUGACACCUGCAUCAUCAGCUGGUACACAAAAGGUCUCCAUGUUUGCUGCCAAGGCUGGAUUUGUUAUACCAAAAAACAAGCUGUUGGGUUCACUUGUGCCUGUCUUUCGCGGAAGUAAAAACCUAGGAACCGGUGACGCAGUUAGUGGAGAAAGUAAGAAACAGAUUCAGAGGAAAACAAAAUGGGGCCCUGAUCUCACCCAAGAUGCUUCUGUCAAAAAAGGAAGAGCUUUAGCUUAUCAGGUAUUGUUUGGAUUGUUUGCAAGUCCUGUUCUGGUCAUAUUUCGUUUGAUACUAUGUUAUUUCGUAGUUCUAAGAUCAAAAUUUGUUCUUGGUUUAUGUAUCUUUUUCCCACUUCACCCGCUUUUAUGUUUGCAAAUGUCAAACGUCUCUAAUAUGUUCCCAUCCUCAUAUAGUUUAGAAAUUCAAAUUUAUGGUUUGGAGGCAUUCUUCGCCCCCCUUGUGGGAGGAAUAAAUAUUUCCACCUAGUGGAAGUUCAUUGUUUCCCUUUUACGUUGGGUAUUAAAAUGCUGGUUGUGUCUUCUGUGUGAAUGUUUCACAUGGAAACCUCCCAUUCCAGGUGCCACUAAGUGAUAUUACUGCCUGUUUGGUGGUACAAAUUUUGAGUAGACUCGGGUGGAACAAAUUACACAACAGUUGAAAUCAGAAAUGUUAGAGGAUGAGAAUGAUGAGGACUUACUAUCAGCACCUCAACAUACAAGCUUCAACAAAAGAAAAUUCAAAGAACUUAGCGAAGAAGGCUUUGGUGUAUUUAACACAAUACGUUGAAAUGAAGGAAAGCUUAUUUAUUGAUAUCCCCGAUAAGCUACAAAUAUGUACAUAUACAAGAGUCAAAAUAAACACACAAGAGGGAGCCUUCACAAAGGUUGCUUAGGAGAAGUCUUAGCAGUCGGUAGAGCCCCAGAAAGAGAAGGCACCGGAGGGGGAUCAUUUGGAGCCUCAGUACUGGACAGAACCCUAGAAGGAGGAGGCAUCAGAGGUUGAUCAUUUGGAGCUUCAUUACGCGGUACAGCCCCAGAAGACGAAGGCAAUAAAUGCCUUUGGAACAAACCCACAAAUCUCUGAUGAUCAAGUAAAACCUGACCAUCAGUUUCCUUCAUCUGGUCAAGCUUCCUCUUCAUGUUUGUAGCAUAGUCAUGUGCGAGCCGGUGCAACUGUUUAUUCUCAUGCUUGAGCCCUCUAAUCUCCUGUUUGAGACUCAUCACUUCAGCCGCCAAUGAUUCAACUUGGCGGGUUCGAGCAAAUAGGCGUUGGGCCAUAUUAGACACAGAACCUGCACACUGAACACUGAGAGCCAGCGAAUCCUUAACAGCUAACUCAUCAGACCGUUUGGAAAGUAGUCUGUUAUCUUUGGGAGUGAGAAGGUUCCUGGCCACCACCGCAGCGGUCAUAUCAUUCUUCAUCACGGAAUCCCCAACGGUAAGAGGACCAGUAGGGGAGACGAAGGAUGGGCGCCAUAUGUUGUCUGGAGAAGGCGGGGCUGCCUCUUCAACAAGGUUCAAGUCAAAACGACGGUCGGAGGGGCCAGACAUUUUCAAAGGUGUUGAAGAGAGAAGAGGUCGGACAAAUCAAGAUCUUAGAAGUGCAAGAAUGAAGCUUCUACUGGUGGAGAUUCAAGUGUGCUUUGGAACUUAAUGCCAGCCCUUAUAAAAAUCUGCACUCGACGGAGCUUCAGAAAUCGAAGAGGCGCCUGCUCAGAAAUCGAAGAGGCGUUUGCUUUCUCAAAAGCUGGGCUGCUUAGAGAUCACGAGGGUUGAUCUCAGAAAUCGAAGAGGCGUUUGCUUUCUCAAAAGUUGGGCUGCUCAAAGACCACGAAGGCUGGAUCUCAGAAAUUCGAAGAGGCGCUCGCUUUCUCAAAAGCUGGGCUCCCCAGAGACCACGAGGGCCGAUCUCAGAAAUCGAAGAGGCACCUACUUUUCCAGCCUUGUCAGCACCUGUCACACGCACACUCAGCUUUGCGGAAAUUAUGGGCAUUCUGUCGAAGACUUCUGGGGAAGUAGAAAACACAUGAAUCUUACUGUUCAAUCACCCACUUCCCACACGCAACAAUAGCUCAUGGGUACCACAGAUAACUUUGCCAAAGUUCUCUGCCAAAGUUGAGCACGUGAAGCUUGCAGCUCCCACUACAUCGCUCUGACCAAGAAGGGUAAAAGAAUAGCAAAGAAACAGCACUAACAAAGUUUAGACCCAUAAAUUUUGAAGGUCUAGCUACCAUAUUAUUACCCACAAGGGUAAAGGAACAGUACCACUGCUGGAUAAUUGGACAGUCCCUGUGUGUCAACCUCUGUGCUUCGUGGCAAGGUAGACUAGCAAACAUGCCCAACCUUUACUCACAUUCGAGAAAAACACUCCCAAUAAGAUUGCUUGCUCCAAAAUCGAAGAGGCACCGUCCUCCGAAUCUCGAGAGCCAGACUCCCAACAUGACUACUUUCUUAAAAAUCGAAGAGAGGGUAAAGGAACAGUACCAUUGCUGGAUAAUUGGAAAGUCCUUGUGUGUCAACCUCUGUGCUUCGUGGCAAGGUAGACUAGCAAACAUGCCCAACCUUUACUCACAUUCGAGAAAACACUCCCAACAAGAUUGCUUGCUCCAAAAUCGAAGAGGCACCGCCCUCCGAAUCUCGAGAGCCAGACUCCCAACAUGAUUACUUUCUCAAAAAUCGAAGAGACACUGCUCCCCGAAUCUUAGAGAGCCAGACCCCCAGCGUGACUGCUUUCUCAAAAAUCGAUGAGGCAUCGUUCUUCGAAUCAAUCGAAGAGGCGCUCGCUUUCUCAAAAGCUGGGCUGCUCAGAGACCACGAGGGCCGAUCUCAGAAAUCGAAGAGGCACCUACUUUUCUAGCCUUGUCAGCACCUGUCACACGCACACUCAGCUUUGCAGAAAUUAUGGGCAUUCUGUCGAAGACUUCUGGUGAAGUAGAAAGCACAUGAAUCUUACUGUUCAAUCACCCACUUCCCACACGCAACAAUAGCUCAUGGGUACCACAGAUAACUUUGCCAAAGUUCUCUGCCAAAGUUGAGCACGUGAAGCUUGCAGCUCCCACUACAUCGCUCUGACCAAGAAAGGUAAAAGAAUAGCAAAGAAACAACACUAACAAAGUUUAGACACAUAAAUUUUGAAGGUCUAGCUACCAUAUUAUUACCCACAAGGGUAAAGGAACAGUACCACUGCUGGAUAAUUGGAAAGUCCCUGUGUGUCAACCUCUGUGCUUCGUGGCAAGGUAGACUAGCAAACAUGCCCAACCUUUUACUCACAUUCGAGAAAACACUCCCAACAAGAUUGCUUGCUCCAAAAUCGAAGAGGCACCGUCCUCCGAAUCUCGAGAGCCAGACUCCCAACAUGACUACUUUCUCAAAAUCGAAGAGAGGGUAAAGGAACAGUACCAUUGCUGGAUAAUUGGAAAGUCCCUGUGUGUCAACCUUUGUGCUUCGUGGCAAGGUAGACUAGCAAACAUGCCCAACCUUUACUCACAUUCGAGACAACACUCCCAACAAGAUUGCUUGCUCCAAAAUCGAAGAGGCACCGCCCUCCGAAUCUCGAGAGCCAGACUCCCAACAUGAUUACUUCCUCAAAAAUCGAAGAGACACUGCUCUCCGAAUCUCGAGAGCCAGACCCCCAGCAUGAUUGCUUUCUCAAAAAUCGAAGAGGCAUCGUUCUCCGAAUCUCGAGAGCCAGAUACCACAGACCACUUUUUCAAAGUGCUCUGACAGAGUUAAAACAUGUGAAACUGGACAGCUCCCACUACCGUGCUAUGACCAAGCAGGGUAAAGGAAUAACAUUACUACUUGUUAGGGAGACUCCUAUAUAUGUCGACCUCCAUCCCCAACGGACAGGCAGACCUGCAAAAAUGCUCAACCCUUCAUCAUAUCUGAGAGGGCACUCCCAACGAAGCCUUUCGAAAUAUUCAGCUUUCUUUCCCCCCGAUAAUACCUCUGCAAACAAGCUAUACUAGAGCAAGAAUAUCUCAUAUCAUCAGGGUUAAAAGCAAGAGUAUCCCAUAUCAUGCUUUUUCCCUGUCUUUUCCUUUGGCCUUGUUUUUACCUGCAAGACAAGGAGAAAGAGAGCAAUCAGUCAGCACUUGGAAUCAAGCUUCCAGCCAGGAACUGACUGCCUGGAACCCCUUACCUGAUUACUUACCUGGCAUUGCUCUCGAGUACUCAUCUUCAACAUCUUAUGUUUCCAGGGAAGAUUCCGCAUCUGCUUGAGGAACAGAUAGGGCAAGUGCGAAGGAUACAAGGAAGCAUGUGGAGACAAGCGUAACAGCACACGUGCCGAUACAUCCAUUACUCUGUCAAAAGCAAAAGUAUCCCAUAUCAGCAGGGUGGAACGUACUCUAGAUUUGAUGGACUUGUUUUGACCCUCAAAUUCUUCAGUCGGCCUUAUACUCUGGAGGAAACCAGAAAACCCUCCAGCUCAGUUCAAGAAUAAGCCUGUGGAAAGUUACUUCUUCAAAAGCAAAAGUAUCUCAUAUCAUCUCUUCUCAUUUUUCUUCUCUUUAUCCUUCAUGCUGCUGCAAGAUGGGGAGAAGGUGAACAAUCAGUCGGAGCUCUGAUUGCUUACCUUGUCUGUCACCUCUUUCAGCAGACCCCCUAGCUCGGCGACUUGGGGGACUCCUACUACAUGGUUUGUAUCGCGCUUGACCAAGCCUGAAACUACAAGUAAGCUUCAAGUGAAAUUGAUACAUUACCUUGUGCAUCUCCACCAGUUAAAGAUACCACCCCUGGAUGGAGGAAGAGUACUUCCAGAGAAGAUGCCACAUCUACCUAUGAGACAGAUAAGGCAAGUCAAGACGACUACCACACUCCGAUACUUAGAAGUUUCGUGAUUACGAGAUCAUUCUCCCACAAUAUUUCCUUAAUGUCAUUUGUACUAAAUCAUUCACUUGUACUCACUAAAGGAGAGCUUGAACCUAUGUACUUGUGUAAACCCUUCACAAUUAAUGAGAACUCUUCUAUUCCGUGGACGUAGCCAAUCUGGGUGAACCACGUACAUCUUGUGUUUGCUUUCCUAUCUCUAUCCAUUUAUAUACUUAUCCACACUAAUGACCGGAGCAAUCUAGCGAAGAUCACAAAAAGCGACCGUUUUCGCUACCUAGGAUCUAUCUUGUAAGAGAACGGAGAAUUAGAUGGAGAUCUCAACCAUAGAAUACGAGCUGCAUGGAUGAAGUGUUAGAAUGCAUCCGGCGUGUUGUGUGACCGUCGUAGGCCACUGAAGCUCAAGGGAAAAUUUUAUAGGACGGCAAUAAGGCCAGCGAUGUUGUAUGGCACAGAAUGUUGGGCGGUGAAGCAUCAACACGUACACAAAAUGGGUGUAGCGGAGAUGAGGAUGCUUCGUGGGAUGUGUGGGCACACGAGAAAGGAUAAGAUUGGGAAUGAGGAUAUCCGAGGUAAAGUAGGAGUAGCCGAAAUUGUAGGAAAGAUGAGAGAAAAUCGGCUCCGGUGAUUUGGACAUGUGCAAAGAAGGCCGAAUGACGCUCCGGUUCGAAGAUGUGACUACGGGACAGAGGUUCAGGGCCGAAGGGGUAGAGGAAGACCUAGGAAAACUUUGGAAGAGACUCUAAGAAAAGACUUAGAGUACUUGGAUCUAACGGAGGACAUGACACAAAACCGAGCGCAAUGGCGUUCUAGGAUUCAUAUAGCCGACCCCACUUAGUGGGAAAAGGCUUUGUUGUUGUUGUUGUUGUUGUUGUUAUUCUUGAUUACUUUUGUUUCUAUGUUGAAUGAUGUUUCUAUUCUUAAGCACUGAUGAUAAUAUUCGUCAAUGUAGGACGUUGACCAGUUGGAAUUUGAAAAGCGGGAAGCCAUAGGUGUGUAUGACAGCUUUCUUAGAUUAUACCUUUCUGUAUGUUAUAUUAUAGAUUGCAUGAUUAUUGUUUUCUUGACGAUAUUCAGGUGAGAUUUAAAGUUAAAUCCAAGCUACAAGGCCCCACCUGAUUAUAAACCUUUGUUGAAAGAGGCUACAGUCCCUAUUCCUGUAAGUUUAUCUUCUCAUUCUGCAAUCCUCUGCAACUUUUUCCUAAUUAACUGUUUUUUUAAGAUGUGUCCAAACUGCUGAGAUAAUAUAAGUUAGUUUAUCAUGGUGUGAAAAUGUUCUGUCAAUUUUAGUUGUAUUGAUUUAAAAUAAAACUUAUCCAAGAAAAACAUGUAUGUGGAAUUUCAACCUGGACUCAUAAGUGGUAGUCUUAUCGUACACUUCUACAAUGAUACGUAUGGACCUGAAAUCUGAACAGGUUGGCCGUAAUUUGGAGUUGAGGGGUGGUGAAGAAGGGGCCUCAGAGUACUACGUGAAUUCGAAAUAACUGGUUAAAGUUAUGCAACUUAUGGCUAGAGUCCCUAUUAAUCUGGUGGAAUAGUUUAGAUUUACUCAUUUAAGCGUAUUUAGCAUUGCUUUUUUAGGUUGGUUGUUUGCGAUACUGGUGUUGGUUUGAAUCCUGAUAAUAUUGAUCGUAAGUUCACAUAAAUAAGAAUUAUUUGGUUGUUUUAAGAACUGUCACCCAGUGGCUAGGUUGUAGAGAGCUUGUGUUGCGAAAACAGUCCAUCUAGAAGGACGGCUAUUGUUGCCCAUAUUUUACCUCCCUGAACCCGCAUUCCGGGAUCCACAUGCAUUGAAAUGCCUUUCUAGGAAUUUCUAGUAUGAGUUGACAUGUCAUUAUUUCACAAAGAGGUGAACGGACUGUGGAUACAACUAUUUUAUUACUAAGAGUAAAGAAUGCAAUGGGUUGGUAUGUUUGUUUACCAUUACUUUUAUAAGGUUUCCUUUGGCCAGGGGUGGAGGGUGGGACCUAAGACGCGAGCAUAUAUUAUCCAAUUUCAUGGUUUGCUGAGUCGGCCAGUAUUUGAAUUCUGAUGCUUAGAUGUUUUAAAAUGCUUUUCAGGUGAAAGAAUAUCCUAAAUAUAAUCUUGUUGGCCUAAUAUAUGGUCCUGAAAGUGAUAACCAGAAACAAUUAGAAAAGGUAAGAGUUUUGUGUGUGCUUAUGACGAUUAUGCCAAACACUCGUGAUUACCAUGUGCAUGUUCUGAUGAUCUUCGCGUCGUGUGUGUUUUCUCUAUAUUUCUUUUUGAUUGGUCAAUGCAAAUAAGGAAACCGGAGCCAAGAUUCAAGUCUAUGGUACCAAAGCAGGGACAGGACACAAGGUAAUAUUUCAAUAAAUAAUAUAGAACGGUAAGGAAUCAAUAUCAUGAUAAAUUUGAGAGUCCUGACUCCUCAUCAUCAAUUUUACUGAUUUUCAUCUUUUCUUAAACAUAUUAUUUUAACCCAAAAAAAAAAAAAAUCUAUUGUGGAAUGGUUGCUUCGAGAUGUGCAUAAUGCUCAUGUAGUAUUGACCUUCCCCUUUUUAUUCUUUAACUUAUUUGCAGGCUGAAAUAAAACCAUCUGAUGGGAGUGAAAUCCAUGGUGAAUAUGAAAGCUUAUAUGUUCAUAUAUCAGUUGACACAUAUGAGAAAGUAGAUGCAGCGGUUGCUGUAAUUGAACUCUUAGUCACCUCUGUAUCAGUGAGUUUCCUUUUUAUUUCUAAACAAAAAGCUUUAAGUCCAACAGUUUCUUAAAAUUUCUCUUUCGUGCUAUUUAUUAUGAUUUCUACAGUUGUUCUCUUAGCAUUGUUCUUUUAAUUACUUCCAUAUAGGGAAAUCUGGCAGCGGUUAGCAGUACAGGUGCUUCAGUUUCUGCUGAUAAUGCUCAUGUUCCUAGUCAAGUCCAGGACACUACCACCUCUAAUAUGGUUCCGACUACUGUGGUAAAUCAGGGAAUGGUACAACCAUUGCCAGGACUUGCACAAACUCCACUGGAUGGGCAGUUUCAGUACCCUGGUCCAUUUCUCUCGAGGGGCCCAUCUUCCGCUCCCAUGUAUAUGCCUGGCUUCGCUCUGAAUUCUUUGAGACCUAUCCUCAACAAUCCUUCCCAUAUUUCAACAUCACUUUUCAACCCUGCGUACCUGCCUUCAUCAUUUGGGCUUCCGCCAUCUCUUGUUUCCCCUAGACAAAAUCCACCAACACCACAAUUUUUGCCACAUACAUAUAUGGCUUCCCAGCCUGCAUCAGUUCAAACUAAUGUUUCAGCUCCACUCACAGUCAUGCGAAACCGACCACUGCCUGCUGAGAGCUCUACUGGAUGAUCAAGCGGUCCACCAGUUCCACAACCAGGUGUUGCAUCCAUGCCACCACCUUCAAAUAUAUCAACGGCGAAUAUGGUGUCUUCUGUAAACCCUCCUAUUGCAGCUCCAAGUUUUAUUUCUAUUCCACGGCCUCAAGCGGGACUUCCUUCUACAUCUCUAUCCACAUCUCUGCAAGCAAGAGUUCCAAGUUCUGUUUCUGGAAGUGUUCCAAAUUUCGCUCCCCUAAAACCACCAAUGAUGACGGCUCAAAGCCCUGGCGAUUUCACUUUUCAGCCUCAUCGACCACAGAAUCCAUCCUUCCAAACAGUUCCCCAGCCAAGCAGUCACUUUUCAGCACAUAACGCUUCUCUUGCCAGACCAAUGUUGCCAUCUCCAACACCUCAAGCACCGUCUUUCCAGUUUCCUCAGCCGGGCAGUCAGGUGUUAUCGAGACCACAACUCGGUGACCACAUGGGUCAGCAUCCAUCAGCUCAUAUGUCUGCUGCUCCCUAUGCCAGAAAUUCAACUGCCAUCUCAGUUCCUCCUAGACUCGCAACAUUUCUAGAAUCCAGUACCGUUCUACCUCGGACGCCACACCCACCAAUGAGACCGAGUAACUUCAAUCCACCUCACCAGAUGCCCAAUUUGCCAGGUCCUCUGCCUCCAAGGCCAGGAAAUUAUAUUCAAAUUCAGCAAAACUAUCCUGCUCACGCAACUCGACCUGAGAUCCCACGUGCUCCAAAUCAACAGUUCAGCAACCACCUUGCAUUUUCCUCUGGCAAGUCGGCGUCUGGUCCUGGAGGAGGGCAACAACUGUAUGAUCCGUUCUCACCCACUUCCGCGAAUCAACAGCAGGGAGGUAAUCCAGGGAAGAUGUGAAAGCAAGGGUUUGAUCUACACUAAUGCGAUUUGAUUGCCUUGGUUGGAGUUACAAUUUCGGAUUUAGUGAAACAGCUAACAAAACAAGAAUUUGGAGUUGUUGUAGUCUAUAGGUCAUAUUAACAUGUUGCUGUUAUCUGAUUUCUGA
Molecule: long non-coding RNA, 26583 nt
Filed under: Malus domestica (apple)
Lineage: Eukaryota; Viridiplantae; Streptophyta; Magnoliopsida; Rosales; Rosaceae
Description: long non-coding RNA (MDOM_LNC002282)
Source: RNAcentral